This is a non-coding RNA of Cricetulus griseus (Chinese hamster), 2260 nucleotides long. Lineage: Eukaryota; Metazoa; Chordata; Mammalia; Rodentia; Cricetidae. The record is from RefSeq and is a predicted model, not a curated record.
CACUUUGGUACUUGCUGCACAGAAUCCUGCCACUCCAGCUGGCUAGGUCGCUCUGGACUGGUGACAGAUUUCACUGUGACCCCGCAGUAAAUCAGUUAGGAGAUCUAACGUCAACCUGAAAGGCCAGAUUCCAACAUCAAGUGCAGAAGGAAUCCAGGUUUGACCCUCUGCCGUCUACAGAGAUGUGUGAGCACCCACCCAAGGCUACUUCCAGCCUCCAUGGGAGUUCUUGAAGCUCUUCUUUAUAUGUUUAACUCUGUUCUAGACCAUUCACUUCUGCAAAAUUUGAAAGUCCACACUCUGCAGCUCCAAAGGCCUGAGAUGGUCGGAGUAGAGCACGUGAUGCUCAUUUUGGACACAGAGGAUUAGAGACAUGAAGGGGAAAGAGAGGUGGGGAUUUUUCUCCUCCUGAGCAAGAAUCACUUUCAGAUGACUUUGUUUCUAGUUGCUGGCAGCUGUAGCCAGGAGCCAACCUGACAGCCACUUCUACCCAAACCUUCUCCCCACGAUGCUGCAUAUCAAUACAUGUUCAGUGUUCCAGGGAAAUCCCAGGGAGAGGGAGAGAGAGAGAGAGAGAGAGAGAGAGAGAGAGAGAGAGAGGCUGGAGGAGGGCAGCAAGUGCUGGGAACUGAGCUCAAGUCUUCUGUAACAACACCACGCCCUCUUAAAUUCUGAGCCACGCCUCCAGCCAGCUUCCCCACCUGUGAUCAUUCCAAGUCACAUUUCAUGGAUGGUUGUUUUCUCUGGCCCAGUGUGUUUUGUCUUCAAGAAGACUCGUGGAAGACUGUAAAAAGCACAGGUUUUUCAUAACUUUGAGAUCACCUCACUGGACUGAGUAAGUAAUCCCAGAAUUCUAAUUUGAAGCUGAUCAUUCAUAAAGCUGAAUCCAAGAAGGUACAUUCCUAGGAAAUGCUUUGGCAGUGUUUUGUCCUGAUCUGGCUCAGUCACUGUGGGAAAAACAGACUCAUUCUCUGCACUCAGAAGGGUUUCUCUAUAGUCGGAUAUAGAUGCUGAAUGAAGACACGUUUGGGGAAUUGCCUAGGUGAUAUGUCUCAUCUGUUUGCCUAAUGGAUGUAAGCAUUAAAGUCAUGGGAUAAAUCCAUGCCUAUGGAGGACCAAAGAGAUGUUUAGAUAAAUUGGAAAAAAAAAAAGGUUGGAGUGAUGCAAACAUACUGUGCUGGUUUGUUGACUGUUUCUCGGGUAGUAACCCACAACCAAUAGUUUCCUUGUUUUUGUGAAAUAUUUUUUACUAUCAGGUGUCAAUUCCCAAAUCACAGGUUUGAUUUUCCGUAUCACUCGGAUACCUGUGCAUCAGUACUCUGGGUGUUUGUUUUCUGGAUCCCUAGAAACACCUGCUGCCACUGAAGUCAGUCCCUGGUUCUCAGCCCCUUUGCAUCUGAAUUCACCCCAUGAGGUCUUUGUCCUCUAAGUGGGUCCUCAUUCUUUUCUUCUUCCAUUUUUUUCAUCUAAAAGUGGACCAGUGCAUGUAAUUCCAGCCUCCUUCCAUCACACACUGCCAAGCAGGUAUGUCUCUUUCAAGGUGAAAGCAUCCCUAAAGUGGAAUCUGUUUCAAGACCCCCAGUACCGAAGCAUCUCUAAAGUGGAAGGCAGUCAGAUACAUAUAUUCAAAGAAAGAAGCUGAUGAGAUGGGUUGUUUAUUACAGACCCUCUUUAGUUAUAAUGGUCUUCCUAUCAUCCUUCCCAAAUGGGGUCUGGGUGAGACUGCCUGGAUGAGGCUUUGAUUGAAUUUAUUUUAUUGGAUUUGUUUAUUUACUUAUUUAUCUUGAGGUAAGUUCUCACCCAUGUUGUCCUAGCUAGCCUGGAACUUGCUAUGUAGACCAGGCUGGCCUUGAACUUUUGGAAAUCUGUCUGCCUCUGCCUCUGCCUCUGCCUCCUGAGUGCUGGGACUAAAAGCAGGGGAGGAAAAAGUCCAGCCCCUUCAUGGACUUAUUUUUAAUCAAGUAUCCUAGAACAUGUUGCCAACUUGGUCCAAUCACAAUGAAAAUCAACUCUUAUCUCAGACCAUUUUUAAAGAGAAAUUCUUUAUUUUGUUUUGUGAGGAUGGUAUAAUAUCUAUGAAUUGACUUCAUAAUAACCAUGGAGUACCAAGGAAGCCACCCUGGAGAAGGCUGAACAGGGAAGUGGAGAGAGGGAGAAAGAGAGAGAGAAGAGAAAUUGAGCCAGGGCCCCAGUCAAAUACAUUAAAACUCUAUUGUGUCUCACAUUUCAGCCAUGAAAUUAUUAUAUUUAUUCAAACAAA